This is a long non-coding RNA of Alosa sapidissima (American shad), 423 nucleotides long. RefSeq lists it as uncharacterized. The transcript is spliced from 3 exons. NCBI's taxonomy places the organism in Eukaryota, Metazoa, Chordata, Actinopteri, Clupeiformes, Clupeidae. The record is from RefSeq and is a predicted model, not a curated record.
ACCUUGCAGCUCCAUCUACUUUAAUAGUCGCUGAGGGGAUCAGAGCACUUCAGGGCUUCACUGAUCAAGAUCCACAAAGAUGAUUUCUCCCAAUCUGAUGCUGCUAGCUGUGGGACUCAUGGCUCAGGUGUCAUCGGCUGAUAUAAUUCUGACUCAGACUCCCACUUCAAAAUCUGUCCAGCCUGGAGAAACCGUCUCUAUCAGCUGCUCAGCCAGUCAGAGUGUUAGUAGCUACCUCCACUGGUACUCCCAGAAACCUGGAGAAGCUCCUAAACUCCUGAUCUCCUAUGCAACAUCUCGUCAGUCUGAUGUUCCAGCUCGGUUCAGUGGGAGUGGGUCUGGUACACAGUACACACUGACCAUUACAGGAUUCCAGCCUGAAGAUGCAGCAGAUUACUACUGUCAGCAGGGUGAUCAGAGGCC